RNAcentral lists this long non-coding RNA (809 nucleotides) under Gallus gallus (chicken). RNAcentral's name for it is "long non-coding RNA NONGGAT008921". Lineage: Eukaryota; Metazoa; Chordata; Aves; Galliformes; Phasianidae. The record is from RNAcentral.
AAAUACACUUUCUGUCUCUGUCUACAGAAUGACUCAAGAUUUCUUUGCUCCAUGGAAAAGUAGGAAGACAGAAAAGAUGCAGCAUGGUGAAUCCUGAACCUGCAGCCAUCCGAUUGACCGCCAUCAGUCAUUUGCAGGCUCUCAGCAUUUUGGCCCCACAUAUGUACUCUCCUCCUGCUGUUCAGAAAGCCCUGCCCAGCUGCACACCUCGUUAUGCCCUGUGGCUGGGCUAUUUUAGGAAAACUUCCUCUAAAGAAAUAACAAAAUCAACAGGCUCUAACUAUUCUACCCAUGGGGCUGAGAAAGUAAAGGCUAAGUGCUAGAAAGGUACAGCAAAGCACUCAGAAGACAACUGGCUUGUCCUUUCUCUAAAUAUCACCAUUCUCCUAGAUCCAGGCAGGGCACUUUAGGUUUUGCGUGGUGUCAUUUGUGCGCAGUGCCUCAGCCAUUUUACAGAGAAAGCCAAUUGCAGCCUGAAGAGGGAAGAAAGGUUUUCCGUCAUGAUUUGAAGAAAGAAAUAACAGACUGAAGUGUGUGGGGGGGGGGGCAGGGGAAUAGCCCAGAGAGUAGGGCUGGGCAAACUGUGCCAGCUAAAACUUCCUUUGGGCUCACCCUGCUAAUUCAAGCUAUCAUGUGUUUUAACAUUUAUUUUCUAUUCAGCCUUCAUGGUUAGUGUUUAGUAUUUGCGGAAAUGAGCGUGAGCAGGAGUAGUAAAGGUCAUAGAAGGAGUUAAGUGCUAACUUAAAAAUAUGGGAAGAGGUAAGUAGAUUAAACAGCCUAAUCCAGUCCUGCUGGACAUGGACUGACCU